GUGAGUUCCACAGCGAGCUUCUGCAGAUGUUCACAUCCAAUAAUCUAUCCAUAAUUGAUGAAACAGGGAGGUCAGAUGUAAUGGCUUCUACUUUUCCAGCAACAAAUAAAUGGUUAUUGACAAAACAAGCCAGUGCGGAGCAGAGAGUCGAGCGGUGAGAAGCAUAGGAUGGUACUGAGGCUGGCUGAGAGAGGAAAAUGAGGCUCUUCAUCUCAAGGAUUCUACAUGUUGAUGUGCUGUAGGAUGUAAAGGGCCAAACUGUCACACAGAAGACAGAAGGAGCAAAUGUGGAGAAGAAAUGAACAAAGGGAGGAAACAAAAAGAAAUCGACAGAGGCAAAAACUGUACCACACAAGUAAUUUGAAGCAGAUUGGAGCCAAAUUUCCUGUGGAAAUUCUGCCUGGAAUACUUGUGGAAUCAAUGCCCCAUUGAUGUCAAUAGAAGGUUCUGACCAGGAUAAUUCUUCAAGAAAAGUGGUUGCUACUGGGAACUCUUUUACUUUUCUUCUGCACAGGUGUUUGAGUAAAUCCCAAUAAAAAAGUUGAUAUGCAUAAAGACGCGUCGGAGGGAGGGCAGAAGGCAAUGGAAAACUGCAGAAAUGAACAACCACAGGAGGAAAUGAAAUCUUUCACAACAGCUGCUCCCCUUGGAUUCCCCUAGAAGGAAACUGCCUGAGGUCGGCUUUAGCACAAAAGGAUAAAGAAGAUGAAAACUGUAAUGUGAGGCUGGAAAACUACUGCUGAGACCCCUGAGUUUACAUCCCAUAAGUCUCUGGCUGUGUGGCAGGACCUUUUAGCAUGUCACAAAGGCUGGUGAUAAACAGCACAUUACCAUGAAACAAACGGUGCCUGAGCAGUAUUGUAAGAGUAAUGAUAACUAGCACUCCCGUGGGAGACGGAGCAACGUUUUCAUCUCUCUAUGCAUCUAUCGCUAAAUGGAAAUGAAAAGUGCAUACUUCUGAUCAGGACCACAGUAAUUAUAUUUGAAACAGUUCUAGCAGCUAAGAAAUAUAUACUAUUACAAUAAAAUAACAUCACUGCAUGAAUCAUACAUAGGGUUUUGCAAAUCUAGUGCUAUUUAAAAGUUGGGUUUUAGGAAAUGUUUAGGAAAAUGAGGCAUUUUAAUGUUAAUAUAACUAUUGCAUUUAGAAAUAGACUUUGGUAGUUGUGAUAGUUUUUUUUUUUUUUUUUCUUACUAUUUGGUAUGACAAGUUGCACAUGGUUGGUGAUCUUUCACAUAUGCACGUGAUAUUGAUGGAUUCAGAAAUAUAAUUUUUCAUGAGAGGGGUUAACCAUAACUACAUUUUCAGUGAAGAAUAGUUUAAUAUAUGAAUUCAUUAACUGCAAUUUAUAUAAGGAUGGGUUUAUAUGUUCAGGUUUUUAUACAAAGCCAGGAAAAAUCAUAGAUGGACAUGUAAAAAGGAAAGACUAAUGGGG
Molecule: long non-coding RNA, 1436 nt
Organism: Hyla sarda
Lineage: Eukaryota; Metazoa; Chordata; Amphibia; Anura; Hylidae
Exons: 3
Source: RefSeq, a predicted model, not a curated record